Long non-coding RNA from Pecten maximus, 200 nucleotides. RefSeq lists it as uncharacterized. The transcript has 3 exons. Lineage: Eukaryota; Metazoa; Mollusca; Bivalvia; Pectinida; Pectinidae. The record is from RefSeq and is a predicted model, not a curated record.
UGAAACCAGCUUACAAUGAGACAAACUACAGAGCCGCCUUAUUGCCAUCAAACAAGUUGAAGAACAGAACCUUAUCUGUCGUUGCAGUUGACAAGUUCAGGGCGUACCUUCGAUCAUAUGCUGACUGUAGAACGGACUACAUAAAUGCCGUAUCAGUGCCAUCCUAUACAUCCAAAACUGGGUACAUCGUCACACAGACU